AUGCACACAGAUUUGUUCUUACCUUGCAAGCAUCGUUGGACGAAGACAGUAGGCAUGAUCAUGGACAAACGCAGUGAGUGCUCAACCCAUCUGUGCAUAUGCUGCACUUCAUGCCCCCGUUCCGCUGCCAUCCUUAUUUUGCCUCUCCUGGAUCUGGCUCCCCAGAGUGUCGUCUUGCUGUCCCUCCCCAGGUUGCCUCGAUCUUGCAGGAGAGGAGCACGGGAGGGCGGUGGCUGGAGUCGGCAGUGGCUGAAGGGAACGCUUGAGAAGGGGAUGCAAUGGAACUGUGAAGGGCGGGUCGGCGAGGAAUCCCGCACAGCGCGACACAUGGGCGAGCAGCGAAGGAGGUUUGGGGUGGCGCCCGAAAAUAUUGGAAGGGGAUGGGGAGGUGGCGGAUGGUUGGAGAAGAAGACCGGCCGCGCGGCCGCGCAUGGCGGCGGCGGCUGUGCCGUACCCGUACGCGAGGAGGAGAGCCCGUGGUCGUGCAUGUGUGUGGUCUUUGUUUAG
RNAcentral lists this ribosomal RNA (507 nucleotides) under Triticum aestivum (bread wheat). RNAcentral's name for it is "partial small subunit ribosomal RNA". Lineage: Eukaryota; Viridiplantae; Streptophyta; Magnoliopsida; Poales; Poaceae. The record is from RNAcentral.